Molecule: ribosomal RNA, 290 nt
Filed under: uncultured Pseudomonas sp.
Lineage: Bacteria; Pseudomonadati; Pseudomonadota; Gammaproteobacteria; Pseudomonadales; Pseudomonadaceae
Description: partial 16S ribosomal RNA
Rfam family: Bacterial small subunit ribosomal RNA
Source: RNAcentral
AACUGAGACACGGUCCAGACUCCUACGGGAGGCAGCAGUGGGGAAUAUUGGACAAUGGGCGAAAGCCUGAUCCAGCCAUGCCGCGUGUGUGAAGAAGGUCUUCGGAUUGUAAAGCACUUUAAGUUGGGAGGAAGGGCAGUAAGUUAAUACCUUGCUGUUUUGACGUUACCAACACAAUAAGCACCGGCUAACUUCGUGCCAGCAGCCGCGGUAAUACAAAGGGUGCAAGCGUUAAUCGGAAUUACUGGGCGUAAAGCGCGCGUAGGUGGUUCAGCAAGUUGGAUGUGAAA